UAUUGUUAAUAUAUAAUUUAAGUAUAAAUAAUAUAUUGAAUUGAUAUUUAGGUAUUUGAAAAUACCUUAUAUGGAGUCAGAAGGCUUUUUGCUUUCUGGCUUUUUUUAUUACUAAGAUUCAAUAAUUAUAUAGAUUCAAAAUGUUAAUUUUUAUUCUAUAUUCUACUUUCCCCAAAAGUAAGAAUUAUACCCAACUUUGUGAUAGGCAUCUUGCCUAUCUUUUUUUUGUGAAAGUA
Molecule: non-coding RNA, 236 nt
Filed under: Clostridioides difficile
Lineage: Bacteria; Bacillati; Bacillota; Clostridia; Peptostreptococcales; Peptostreptococcaceae
Description: Clostridioides difficile sRNA SQ1002
Rfam family: Clostridioides difficile sRNA SQ1002
About the family: This 191nt small RNA was identified in Clostridioides difficile 630 by RNA deep sequencing and confirmed by Northern Blot and RT-PCR. Extremities were confirmed by 5' and 3'-RACE. The element is found in several C. difficile strains in syntenic positions between a putative acyltransferase gene and a Ferrous iron transport gene.
Source: RNAcentral